RNAcentral lists this ribosomal RNA (253 nucleotides) under uncultured bacterium. Its description in RNAcentral is "partial 16S ribosomal RNA". It matches the Rfam family "Bacterial small subunit ribosomal RNA", at positions 524 to 776 of the family's 1533-position model. The record is from RNAcentral.
UACGUAGGUGACAAGCGUUGUCCGGAUUUACUGGGCGUAAAGAGCGCGCAGGCGGUCGAUCAAGUCGAGUGUGAAAGCCCCCGGCUCAACUGGGGAGGGUCAUUCGAUACUGAUCGACUCGAAGGCAGGAGAGGGUAGUGGAAUUCCCGGUGUAGUGGUGAAAUGCGUAGAUAUCGGGAGGAACACCGGUGGCGAAGGCGGUUCUCUGGGCAUGUCCUGACGCUGAGGAGCGAAAGUGUGGGGAGCGAACAGG